Long non-coding RNA from Siniperca chuatsi (mandarin fish), 1267 nucleotides. RefSeq lists it as uncharacterized. Lineage: Eukaryota; Metazoa; Chordata; Actinopteri; Centrarchiformes; Sinipercidae. The transcript has 3 exons. The record is from RefSeq and is a predicted model, not a curated record.
UCAGACAGACACAUUUCAUUCAACCAGAAAGUCCUGCUCUCAUGAGUCUUAGCUUGUGGGAACGCCUUAAGGUUUGUUUUAUGGAAUUACAUUUUCCAGUUGCACAGGGUAAACAAAGAAACCGUUUCUUUAUACUUCAUUAUUUCUUUAGGAUAAGAAACCGUUGAGUAUCUCACUUCUUCCUGUUUGAGUUUCCUCCUCAGUUUCCAGGAUAACACUCGGAUGAGCAUUAUCUGCAGAGAGCAGCCCCGGAUGUACCCAAACUGCACUUAAGAGAGGAAACUAUUGAUGACCUUCAUGUGGGAGGAAGUUCCUGCAACUGGUCAUUAAUUGUUGCUGAGGGGCCAAAGUUUGAGAAAAACAACAAGUGGAACUAACAGCUUUGAGUUCAAGAUACUAAAAGAGGGAAAACAAGGUGCCGUUGGAUUGCAGCGGGUCUUCACUUUCCUAAUCAGCUCUUCUGCUCUCUCGUCCAAGCAAGGUCAUCCUUCCCUCAGCCUCUGCGCUCAUCCAUUUCCUUCCAACACCUCAAGAUCUGAUUUCCAUCACUGACUCAUAACAUUUCCCCCCUGCAGACUCAUUUCCAAAAAGAAUCCCAGAGACGCACUACGUUUUUUAGAACUAUGAUAUUAUCAGGAAGUUAAUGGCAGAUAAUCCCUCUCAGCAUGUGACCCGUUUAAAGAUAAUCUUGUUUUUUUUAUUCACCUUAGUUUCAGAGGGAUGACUGAGCAGAACUGUGUAAAUGCAUACCUCCAAAACAAGUCAACAAAUCAGUAAAGAUGUCCAUUAAUGGUGAAGGUAUACUGUUAACAGUAUUUUACAAAAGCUGAAUAUUUCCAUGGAAUGCAAGCUUUUCUGAUUAGAAAAUUUGUCAAUACAAUAAAACAUAUGUUAUUCCCCUGUAUAUUUGCAGAAAUCAAUAAAUCAGCAGACAUUUUGUAUAUGUUUUCAAUGAAAGUGCAGUCAUUCAUGACGUAUAUCCAGAGUUAAACGUCAAAUAUUAGCAACAAUUAUUUUAAAAAAAAGACAGAUUUAGGUACAAAAACAGAUGCAGACACUGACAAACUUCACUCUGAUCAUUGGAUUUGGUGCAACAGCUGCCCAAAGAGGGUGUCCAAAUUGAAGUGUAUAGGAAUGCUUUGUUUUCUUGUCAGCAAUUAUUUGUAGAAAGAAGAGGAUCCGUCCAAGAGGAUUGCCCUGAAUAUUAGCUGACUUUUUGUUGUUUUUAUAGUAGCAUUAGUUAUUUUUAUUUGAUAUAUAUUUAUCU